AUUGAACGCUGGCGGCAUGCUUUACACAUGCAAGUCGAACGGCAGCGCGGGCUUCGGCCUGGCGGCGAGUGGCGAACGGGUGAGUAAUGCAUCGGAACGUGCCCAGUAGUGGCGGAUAGCCCGGCGAAAGCCGGAUUAAUACCGCAUACGACCUGAGGGUGAAAGCGGGGGACCGAAAGGCCUCGCGCUAUUGGAGCGGCCGAUGUCGGAUUAGCUAGUUGGUGGGGUAAAGGCUUACCAAGGCGACGAUCCGUAGCUGGUCUGAGAGGACGACCAGCCACACUGGGACUGAGACACGGCCCAGACUCCUACGGGAGGCAGCAGUGGGGAAUUUUGGACAAUGGGGGCAACCCUGAUCCAGCCAUGCCGCGUGCGGGAAGAAGGCCUUCGGGUUGUAAACCGCUUUUGUUCGGGAAGAAAUCCUCUGGGCUAAUACCCCGGGGGGAUGACGGUACCGGAAGAAUAAGCACCGGCUAACUACGUG
RNAcentral lists this ribosomal RNA (484 nucleotides) under uncultured bacterium. RNAcentral describes it as "partial 16S ribosomal RNA". It matches the Rfam family "Bacterial small subunit ribosomal RNA", at positions 28 to 507 of the family's 1533-position model. The record is from RNAcentral.